UACGUAGGCGGCUACGCAAGUUGGGUGUGAAAGCCCGGGGCUCAACCCCGGAACUGCACUCAAAACUGUUUAGCUAGAGUUCGGAAGAGGUAAGUGGAAUUCCCAGUGUAGAGGUGAAAUUCGUAGAUAUUGGGAAGAACACCAGUGGCGAAGGCGGCUUACUGGUCCGAUACUGACGCUGAGGUACGAAAGCGUGGGGAGCGAACA
Molecule: ribosomal RNA, 207 nt
Filed under: uncultured bacterium
Lineage: Bacteria
Description: partial 16S ribosomal RNA
Rfam family: Bacterial small subunit ribosomal RNA
Source: RNAcentral